GGUAAGCUUUCCAUUUAGGACGGCAUGCAGCCUGAAGGCGAUUGUGGCAGUUCUCUUGUGUACAUAUAUAUAGAACGACGCCGACGAAGCCAGUGGCAAAAGAGGCGCUCCUCUCAACGCAUGCGCUCCACAGUUUACGAUUGAAGUUCGCUAUAGUGCUGCUGCUGCUGACCACAGUCGUCAUGAAGUUCCUCCUGUACCUAAGCAUCAUCGCAGUGGGCCUUGUGUGCAUCUCAGCACAGUUCUUUGGUGGCCCAGGUCCCGUUCGCGGUGGACGCGACCGACAUAUACUGCGCUCUGAAAGGCACGCAAUCCUGCCCGGGCGCAGUGGGUACAAUGGCUAAUGGCUCAGACGAUGCAAACAGUUUGCCAUGCCGGACAGCUAGGGAAGACAUAGGAAAGUUCAUUGGCUGCCCCUGAAAGCGCCCAAUAAAUUAUUUUUGAUGCCGACA
Molecule: long non-coding RNA, 452 nt
Filed under: Dermacentor andersoni
Lineage: Eukaryota; Metazoa; Arthropoda; Arachnida; Ixodida; Ixodidae
Description: uncharacterized LOC126532374
Source: RNAcentral